This 308-nucleotide ribosomal RNA is filed under the name uncultured bacterium. Its description in RNAcentral is "partial 16S ribosomal RNA". It matches the Rfam family "Bacterial small subunit ribosomal RNA", at positions 505 to 807 of the family's 1533-position model. The record is from RNAcentral.
GAGACAGCAGUAGCCGCGGGAAUACGUAGGUGGCAAGCGUUGUCCGGAAUUAUUGGGCGUAAAGGGCUCGCAGGCGGUUCCUUAAGUCUGAUGUGAAAGCCCCCGGCUCAACCGGGGAGGGUCAUUGGAAACUGGGAAACUUGAGUGCAGAAGAGGAGAGUGGAAUUCCACGUGUAGCGGUGAAAUGCGUAGAGAUGUGGAGGAACACCAGUGGCGAAGGCGACUCUCUGGUCUGUAACUGACGCUGAGGAGCGAAAGCGUGUGGAGCGAACAGGAUUAGAUACCCCAGUAGUCCCUGUCUCUUAUAC